CGCGAAGCCGCCGGCACCAACGCCACCGGUCCCGCCGGUGCCGCCGGCACCGGUCGCAGCCCCACCAAGCCCGCCGGCCCCGC
Molecule: transfer RNA, 83 nt
Filed under: Mycobacterium tuberculosis
Lineage: Bacteria; Bacillati; Actinomycetota; Actinomycetes; Mycobacteriales; Mycobacteriaceae
Description: tRNA-Ala
Source: RNAcentral